GUAACGGUUUCUUACCAGAAAAGGACGACUAAAAUACGACAAACAGCCGCGAUAAUACGUAGGUCCCGAGCGUUGUCCGGAUUUAUUGGGAAAAAAACGAGAGCAGGCGGUUAGAUAAGUCUGAAGUUAAAGGCUGUGGCUAAACCAUAGGACGCUUUGGAAACUAUUUAACUUGAGUGCAAGGGGGGAGAGUGGAAUUCCAUGUGUAGCGGUGAAAUGCGUAGAUAUAUGGAGGAACACCGGUGGAGAAAGCGGCUCUCUGGCUUGUAACUGACGCUGAGGCUCGAAAGCGUGGGGAGCAAACAGG
This 307-nucleotide ribosomal RNA is filed under the name uncultured Streptococcus sp. RNAcentral describes it as "bacterial SSU rRNA". It matches the Rfam family "Bacterial small subunit ribosomal RNA", at positions 469 to 776 of the family's 1533-position model. Lineage: Bacteria; Bacillati; Bacillota; Bacilli; Lactobacillales; Streptococcaceae. The record is from RNAcentral.